Molecule: ribosomal RNA, 482 nt
Filed under: uncultured bacterium
Lineage: Bacteria
Description: partial 16S ribosomal RNA
Rfam family: Bacterial small subunit ribosomal RNA
Source: RNAcentral
AUUGAACGCUGGCGGCAUGCUUUACACAUGCAAGUCGAACGGUAACAGGCCGCAAGGGUCUGAUGAUCGGCGAACGGGUGAGUAAUUCAUCGGAACGUGCCCAGUCGUGGGGGAUAACUACUCGAAAGAGUAGCUAAUACCGCAUACGAUCUAUGGUUGAAAUCGGGGGACCGUAAGGGCUCGCGCGAUUGGAGCGGCCGAUGUCGGAGUAGUUAGUUGGUGGGGUAAAGGUUCAGCAAGCCAACGAUCUGUAGCUGGUCUGAGAGGACGAGCAGCGACACUGGGACUGAGACACGGCCCAGACUCCUAAGGGAGGCAGCAGUGGGGAAUUUUGGACAAUGGGCGCAAGCCUGAUCCAGCAAUGCCGCGUGCAGGAAGAAGGCCUUCGGGUUGUAAACUGCUUUUGUACGGAACGAAACGGCUCUGGUUAAUACCCGGGGCUAAUGACGGUACCGUAAGAAUAAGCACCGGCUAACUACGUG